Molecule: ribosomal RNA, 498 nt
Filed under: uncultured Actinomycetes bacterium
Lineage: Bacteria; Bacillati; Actinomycetota; Actinomycetes
Description: bacterial SSU rRNA
Rfam family: Bacterial small subunit ribosomal RNA
Source: RNAcentral
AGAGUUUGAUCAUGGCUCAGGACGAACGCUGGCGGCGCGCCUCAUACAUGCAAGUCGAGCGUGAAGCGGGACUUCGGUCCCGUGGAAAGCGGCGAACGGGUGCGUAACACGUGAGCAACCUGCCCCAAAGACUGGGAUAACCCGGGGAAACCCGGGCUAAUACCGGAUGUCCUCCUCCGAUCGCAUGGUGGGAAGAGGAAAUGUUCAGGCGCUUUGGGAUGGGCUCGCGGUCUAUCAGCUUGUUGGUGGGGUAACGGCCUACCAAGGCGACGACGGAUAGCUGGUCUGAGAGGACGAUCAGCCACACUGGGACUGAGACACGGCCCAGACUCCUACGGGAGGCAGCAGUAGGGAAUCUUGCGCAAUGAGGGAAACCUUGACGCAGCGACGCCGCGUGCGGGAUGAAGGCCUUCGGGUUGUAAACCGCUUUCAGCAGGGACGAAAUUGACGGUACCUGCAGAAGAAGGCCCGGCCAACUACGUGCCAGCAGCCGCGGUA